UCCUCUCUCAAACCCCGGGUUUGGUGUUGGGCCGGCGUUGGUGUCACAGCCAACUGGUCUCAAAGACAAUGACGGCGUCCGUGGGACCCUCUUCGCGACGAGCUUCUUCGGAGCAUGCGUAGAGUUUAAAGGACCUUCCGGGCCGGUCACCUCAUUUAUUUUUCUCA
Molecule: unclassified non-coding RNA, 167 nt
Filed under: uncultured Ascomycota
Lineage: Eukaryota; Fungi; Ascomycota
Description: sequence contains ITS2
Source: RNAcentral